AGCGAACGCUGGCGGCAGGCCUAACACAUGCAAGUCGAACGAACACUCCGGAGUUAGUGGCGGACGGCGGAGUAACAAGUGGGAAGGAGCCUUUUGGUUCGGCAUAACUCAGGGAGACUUGUUCUAAUAACGCAUGUGCCCUUCGGGGGCAAGAUUUAUUGCCAUUCGAGCGGCCCGCGUCUGAUUAGCUAGUUGGUGAGGUAACGGCUCACCAAGGCGACGAUCAGUAGGUGGUCUGGGAGGAUGACUAGGCACACUGGGAAUGAGACACGGCCCAGACUCCUACGGGAAGGAGGAGUGGGGAAUCCUGCGCAAUGGGGGAAAGCCUGACGCAGCCAUGCCGCGUGAAUGAUGAAUGUCUUAGGAUUGUAAAAUUCUUUCACCCGGGACGAUAAUGACGGUACCCGGAGAAGAAGCCCCGGCUAACUUCGUG
This 433-nucleotide ribosomal RNA is filed under the name uncultured bacterium. RNAcentral's name for it is "partial 16S ribosomal RNA". It matches the Rfam family "Bacterial small subunit ribosomal RNA", at positions 29 to 507 of the family's 1533-position model. The record is from RNAcentral.